GUAAAGCGCGCGUAGGUGGUUAAUUAAGUCAAAUGUGAAAUCCCCGAGCUUAACUUGGGAAUUGCAUUCGAUACUGGUUAGCUAGAGUAUGGGAGAGGAUGGUAGAAUUCCAGGUGUAGCGGUGAAAUGCGUAGAGAUCUGGAGGAAUACCGAUGGCGAAGGCAGCCAUCUGGCCUAAUACUGACACUGAGGUGCGAAAGCAUGGGGAGCAAACAGGAUUAGAUACCCUGGUAGUCCAUGCCGUAAACGAUGUCUACUAGCCGUUGGGGGAUUUGAUCCUUUAGUGGCGCAGCUAACGCGAUAAGUAGACCGCCUGGGGAGUACGGUCGCAAGACUAAAACUCAAAUGAAUUGACGGGGGCCCGCACAAGCGGUGGAGCAUGUGGUUUAAUUCGAUGCAACGCGAAGAACCUUACCUGGCCUUGACAUAGUAGAGACUUUCCAGAGAUGGAUUGGUGCCUUCGGGAAUCUACAUACAGGUGCUGCAUGGCUGUCGUCAGCUCGUGUCGUGAGAUGUUGGGUUAAGUCCCGCAACGAGCGCAACCCUUUUCCUUACUUGCCAGCAUUUCGGAUGGGAACUUUAAGGAUACUGCCAGUGACAAACUGGAGGAAGGCGGGGACGACGUCAAGUCAUCAUGGCCCUUACGGCCAGGGCUACACACGUGCUACAAUGGUCGGUACAAAGGGUUGCUACACAGCGAUGUGAUGCUAAUCUCAAAAAGCCGAUCGUAGUCCGGAUCGCAGUCUGCAACUCGACUGCGUGAAGUCGGAAUCGCUAGUAAUCGCGGAUCAGAAUGCCG
RNAcentral lists this ribosomal RNA (799 nucleotides) under uncultured bacterium. RNAcentral describes it as "bacterial SSU rRNA". It matches the Rfam family "Bacterial small subunit ribosomal RNA", at positions 560 to 1359 of the family's 1533-position model. The record is from RNAcentral.